UACGUAGGGUGCGAGCGUUGUCCGGAAUUAUUGGGCGUAAAGAGCUCGUAGGCGGUGUGUCACGUCGGCCGUGAAAACCUGCAGCUUAACUGUGGGCGUGCGGUCGAUACGGGCGGGCUAGAGUUCGGUAGGGGAGACUGGAAUUCCUGGUGUAGCGGUGAAAUGCGCAGAUAUCAGGAGGAACACCGGUGGCGAAGGCGGGUCUCUGGGCCGAUACUGACGCUGAGGAGCGAAAGCGUGGGGAGCGAACAGG
This 253-nucleotide ribosomal RNA is filed under the name uncultured bacterium. RNAcentral's name for it is "partial 16S ribosomal RNA". It matches the Rfam family "Bacterial small subunit ribosomal RNA", at positions 524 to 776 of the family's 1533-position model. The record is from RNAcentral.